This 81-nucleotide transfer RNA is filed under the name Acinetobacter pittii. RNAcentral's name for it is "tRNA-Ser". It matches the Rfam family "tRNA". Rfam says of the family: Transfer RNA (tRNA) molecules are approximately 80 nucleotides in length. Their secondary structure includes four short double-helical elements and three loops (D, anti-codon, and T loops). The record is from RNAcentral. Lineage: Bacteria; Pseudomonadati; Pseudomonadota; Gammaproteobacteria; Moraxellales; Moraxellaceae.
GGUGAGGUGUCCGAGUGGCUGAAGGAGCACGCCUGGAAAGUGUGUAUACNNUCGAGGGUUCGAAUCCCUCUCUCACCGCCA